Mesocricetus auratus (golden hamster) is the source of this 829-nucleotide long non-coding RNA. RefSeq lists it as uncharacterized. NCBI's taxonomy places the organism in Eukaryota, Metazoa, Chordata, Mammalia, Rodentia, Cricetidae. The transcript has 2 exons. The record is from RefSeq and is a predicted model, not a curated record.
UCCUCCUGACAUCCCCAACCCUACCCUUUCCUUCUCUCUACCCCUGCAGGCACCACCAGACUGUGGAGAGGAGGGUGGUGCUCUAAGUGAAGCUGAGGUUGCUGAAAAAAUGUUUUUUGUGGGAGCACAGAUGUGUGCGGUAGGGUGGAACGCACAAAGGAUCAUGGAUUGAUGAGAUGAAGGAACAUCGGGUCGGAAUGGCCUGUGGUUGGAGCUCAGUGUUCUCAUCUUAAACAUGAAAACCUGAGGUCUCAAGGUGAGAAUAGCAUCUGCAAUCCAGAAACACUGAGUGCACUUCAGCACCCGACAAGCAGCUCUCCAGCAGAGGAUAACGGAGCAAGAGAGAAUGAUCGCACUAACGAAGGCAAUAAUUACACUCUCCAGGACUUGUUGAGCACUUUGCGGUUUGAUGAGCACUUUCAUAUACAGCAUUGCUUCUGAUCGUCACAGCAACCGAGUGUGCAAGCUGGUCUGGCAAUUUUCAUCUGCAUCCUAUAAGGAACAUUGAAGAGCAGAGAAGUUAGAACCAGAGCAAAACCUCACCCAGAAUGUCACUGAACAAAUGAGUUAUCCAACUUCAAAUGCUCUGGCCUGUCUGGACCACUAUCACAUCCCCCAGAGAGUGUGGUAGAAAGGAAGCAUCUGUUUUAUCCUUUCCCCCUACUCCAAUCUCUUCUUUAUUCCUUCUAUCUCCCCAGCUAAGUUUCAACACAUAACAACAAGCAAGGAAGGAAAAACAGAACGGUUAUUUGUAACUCCACAGUUCAGUCACUAAUUUGGUUAUUGCUUAAUUUAACUUGUUUUCUAUUAAAUGUUCUUCAAAACCACA